RNAcentral lists this long non-coding RNA (1252 nucleotides) under Mus musculus (house mouse). Its description in RNAcentral is "long non-coding RNA chr14:64652513-64653765". The record is from RNAcentral. Lineage: Eukaryota; Metazoa; Chordata; Mammalia; Rodentia; Muridae.
ACAGCCCCCGCCCGCCGGGUUGGCCUCGGAGAGUUUGUCCGGUGGCCGAGGUAGACGGAGGUGCAGUGAGAACCCCGGCGGUAGCACGAUGGGAGACUCCAAAGUGAAAGUGGCGGUACGGGUCCGGCCAAUGAACCGACGAGGUGAGCGCUUGUCCCGGGCCGGGGGCGACAGGUGCCUGUGGUGGUAGAGCUUCGGCGUCCCGGGGGUCUCGGCGGGCUCCCUUCAGCGCGCGUGCGCCCUCGACGGCGCGGUCGGGCCCUCAGCCCUCCGCCCCGCCAGCUGUCACCGAGCUCUCCAGGCCUGGGGCAGCUCCGGCCUCGCAGUCCUCCUGUGUACGCAGCUCUUAGGGCGGACAGCCCUACUUUUCGAUUUUCCACGUUCUCCCUUGAACCUGCACCUUGUGGCUGUUUGCAGAAAAGGAAGGACAUGCAUGCCUUCUUAGUUCUUUUCUGGUUUAUGACUGUCGAGAGGUUUCCUUUUUUUCCUUUUGCUUGAAGUGAUAGUCAUCAUCUCAACAAUAAAUAGUCUCAGUGCCAAGAUUCUUGGGAAAUUGUAUCUUUCAGACAUGCUCUGAAGUCUGUAGGGAGGGUAGAGAAAGUAGAUAAACCCAGGACACGUAAAUCAUCUAUCCAAGUUGGAAAGACUGAAGCCCAACUUGAAUCCGGGGAGUAGCUGCUUUUUGCCUCUGUAGCUUCACCAGAGGGUGACUGGGCAGGGUACUUAAAAUGAGGUGAUGUGUUUGAAAACACUUUCUAGACAAGUCUUGUUAUUGAGGUUGCUGCCGCGCUCCCGGGAGAUGGAAUUGCUGCUAAUUGAUUUAGACUACUGACUAGCUAGAGCCAUUAUUAAGUGCAGGAGUCAUUUUCCAAGGUUUCUAGUUUGUUUUACUGUGUUUAAAGUCUAGUGUGUAGGAAAUAGUUUUUCUGUCUCCUUGCCCUUUUGUGUAUGUAUUGAGGUAAGUAGGUGUAAAAGUUAACAAAGAUUUCUCUGGUUGGUUGUUCCUUGGGAACUUGGUGUCUCUGUUUUCUUGUCGUUGGUUUGCCUACUUGAACCUGCUGAAGUCUAUGAGGCAAGCUUUUCCCCUGAAGACGGAACUUUUUAAGCUCUCAGCUCAUUGCCUCCUAACAUCCAGGUUCUCACAAAACAGAGUGAGUAGCUUAGAAGUCUGAAAGUUUUCAGUUCUCCCAUUUUUUGAGUAUCCAGACAUCUUUAUUUUAGAUCACUUCACCUCAUUGUGAUCAUUACUGCG